Molecule: long non-coding RNA, 719 nt
Organism: Acromyrmex echinatior (Panamanian leafcutter ant)
Lineage: Eukaryota; Metazoa; Arthropoda; Insecta; Hymenoptera; Formicidae
Source: RefSeq, a predicted model, not a curated record
CCAACUGUCUGAUUGAGAAAUCAAAGUUGAAAACUUUCAACUUUGAUUUGAAAGUCGCACGCUUUUUUCAGACUUCUUGUCACCAAGCUUGGUAACAAUCUCUUUAUUGGCAAUAAAUCGUCAAUAAUAAGUCGUAUCUAAUAUUUUCCAUCUGUUUGUGACAAUGGGAAUGUACAGUACGAAAAGAUUUCAUCAAAUUAGAUGAAAUCUUUGUUGCACUAAAAUUCAUUAAAAUUAUACGUUUUAAGAAUACCAUGUGCAAUUUUCUUUUCUCUUAUUCUUUACAUUGAAAAGAGAUUAAGCUGCAAGAAUGGAUAUUUGAUAGAUCAAAUCUCAACAAUAACUGUGGAAUACUCCAUGCUCUAAUGAAGAAUUCGAAGCCAGUUAGCGAUAACAGGUAACGAUGACUAGGCGAAACAACGAGAAUUGUUCGCUAGCAGCCUUAACAUUGUCUUAUCACUUGACCGCUAUAACCGCUAUAACGUUCCCUCACUUGAGAGAUAGAAUGAAAAAUGUGCACAUUGCAUGAACAGAAAAAUAUUAUUGAGAAGAAGAAGAAGAAGAUGAAGGGAUUCUUAUUGAUCGUCGCUGGCAAGAGAUUUAAAUUCAAUCUCAAUGAUCAGAGAUCAAUGGGACGGGUCAGCCAUGAAAAGGACAAUGAGAGUUCAAUCAGAGGUGCUAAAAAUGAACGAAAAAAAAACAAAAUGAUGAAAAAAGGA